Molecule: long non-coding RNA, 468 nt
Organism: Neoarius graeffei (lesser salmon catfish)
Lineage: Eukaryota; Metazoa; Chordata; Actinopteri; Siluriformes; Ariidae
Exons: 3
Source: RefSeq, a predicted model, not a curated record
UUCUGUCAUUUAUUUCCUUUCUUUAACUUUUGUCCCUCUUUUCACUCAUACCAUCUCCUGUCCAAUCUCUUGCAAUGUAUUUGGUCAGAUCACUUUGGAAGAUCUUGACAGUGAUGAUGAGACUCCACAACACCAGAAGAAGGAAUCUGUCCUCACCCUAAUGAACCCAACUGCCUUGGAUUAUGCCCAAAGGUGUGAGGGCUAUAAGAAACUCACAAGGACUGUGAUGGACUCUGUCUUCACUGUGGAGGAGAUGGCAACGUGCUCCGUCACGGGGGAAAAAAGGGAUUGUGGGGGAAAAAAAAAAAGACAGCGGCUUGAUGUGGACAAAGUGAAGUCAGUGAUUGUUUCUUACAGAUCAUGUCAAAAGUGUUCACAAGGGUGUUGGGGACACUGAAAUCAAGGCCUGCAUGGCGCAAAAAUUAAAAGACAUCCGGAGACGAGCAGAGAAGGAAAAAUGGUAACCAA